RNAcentral lists this non-coding RNA (45 nucleotides) under Schistosoma margrebowiei. Lineage: Eukaryota; Metazoa; Platyhelminthes; Trematoda; Strigeidida; Schistosomatidae. The record is from RNAcentral.
AUCCGGAUGACGAGUUCCAAAUAGGAUGAAAUACGCGUCCUGAAU